This 764-nucleotide ribosomal RNA is filed under the name uncultured Streptococcus sp. RNAcentral's name for it is "bacterial SSU rRNA". It matches the Rfam family "Bacterial small subunit ribosomal RNA", at positions 28 to 776 of the family's 1533-position model. Lineage: Bacteria; Bacillati; Bacillota; Bacilli; Lactobacillales; Streptococcaceae. The record is from RNAcentral.
GACGAACGCUGGCGGCGUGCCUAAUACAUGCAAGUAGAACGCUGAAGGAGGAGCUUGCUUCUCUGGAUGAGUUGCGAACGGGUGAGUAACGCGUAGGUAACCUGCCUGGUAGCGGGGGAUAACUAUUGGAAACGAUAGCUAAUACCGCAUAACAGUAGAUGUUGCAUGACAUUUGCUUAAAAGGUGCAAUUGCAUCACUACCAGAUGGACCUGCGUUGUAUUAGCUAGUUGGUGGGGUAACGGCUCACCAAGGCGACGAUACAUAGCCGACCUGAGAGGGUGAUCGGCCACACUGGGACUGAGACACGGCCCAGACUCCUACGGGAGGCAGCAGUAGGGAAUCUUCGGCAAUGGACGGAAGUCUGACCGAGCAACGCCGCGUGAGUGAAGAAGGUUUUCGGAUCGUAAAGCUCUGUUGUAAGAGAAGAACGGGUGUGAGAGUGGAAAGUUCACACUGUGACGGUAUCUUACCAGAAAGGGACGGCUAACUACGUGCCAGCAGCCGCGGUAAUACGUAGGUCCCGAGCGUUGUCCGGAUUUAUUGGGCGUAAAGCGAGCGCAGGCGGUUAGAUAAGUCUGAAGUUAAAGGCUGUGGCUUAACCAUAGUACGCUUUGGAAACUGUUUAACUUGAGUGCAAGAGGGGAGAGUGGAAUUCCAUGUGUAGCGGUGAAAUGCGUAGAUAUAUGGGGGAACACCGGUGGCGAAAGCGGCUCUCUGGCUUGUAACUGACGCUGAGGCUCGAAAGCGUGGGGGAGCAAACAGG